UGCUCAGAUUGAACGCUGGCGGCAGGCCUAACACAUGCAAGUCGAGCGGCAGCGGGAAAGUAGCUUGCUACUUUUGCCGGCGAGCGGCGGACGGGUGAGUAAUGCCUGGGGAUCUGCCCAGUCGAGGGGGAUAACUACUGGAAACGGUAGCUAAUACCGCAUACGCCCUACGGGGGAAAGCAGGGGACCUUCGGGCCUUGCGCGAUUGGAUGAACCCAGGUGGGAUUAGCUAGUUGGUGAGGUAAUGGCUCACCAAGGCGACGAUCCCUAGCUGGUCUGAGAGGAUGAUCAGCCACACUGGAACUGAGACACGGUCCAGACUCCUACGGGAGGCAGCAGUGGGGAAUAUUGCACAAUGGGGGAAACCCUGAUGCAGCCAUGCCGCGUGUGUGAAGAAGGCCUUCGGGUUGUAAAGCACUUUCAGCGAGGAGGAAAGGUUGGUAGCUAAUAACUGCCAGCUG
RNAcentral lists this ribosomal RNA (461 nucleotides) under Aeromonas veronii. RNAcentral's name for it is "bacterial SSU rRNA". It matches the Rfam family "Bacterial small subunit ribosomal RNA", at positions 21 to 471 of the family's 1533-position model. The record is from RNAcentral. Lineage: Bacteria; Pseudomonadati; Pseudomonadota; Gammaproteobacteria; Aeromonadales; Aeromonadaceae.